CUCAGGAUCCAUCCCAUCUGGGAUUGAGACCAAAUUAACACAUGAGCCUGUAGGAUCGCUUCUGCCACCCAUUGCACUAAGCACUCUCCUGAGGUUAAAGUCUGUAUUGACAAAAGUGACUUUGGAUCCAAGGUUGGCUAUUCUCCGAGCAAAGUGCAUUAAGGGGUUAACAUGUCCUUGGGCUGGAAAUGGUAGCAGUAGAACAUGUGAAUUUCGCAUUUUCCUUUUUGCGGUUUGAGAAACAGAGCAGAGAAAAUGCGGAAUCUUAUCUUCCUCCGUUGGCAACGAGCAAAGGAGUGGCUAAUAAUUUAUUGGCUGCAAGGGCAAAGGAUUAAACAGAAAUUGUAGAAUAUAACGGUAAUACCGACCUGGAUUUCCUGGUUGGUCUAUUAAUAAAUUAUUUGUAUUUUGACACGUAUAUUAAAAAAAUAAAAAAAUAUAUUAAUUUUUAUUAUAUUUUAUUUUUCUCUUUCUUAUUAAUAAAUCACUACUAUAUUAGAAAUCUAAAGGGCCACUGUUAUUUAUAACUUAAAAUAAGUAAUAGUAAUUAAAUUGUUUUGUUUUUAAAAACAUUGGGAUUGGGAUUGGGAUUCAGAUUGAUUUAUAUGUACUUACCACCGAAUUAAAUCUGUGAGUUAUAUAACCAAUAAUUUUAUUAUAAUCAUUAAUUAUAAUGAAUUAUAAAUACUAUAAUUAAUAUCUAACUAUAUGUUUUAUGUUUUACAUAUAAUAUAAUAAUUUUUCAUAAUUCAAUUAAUGGGAAGAGGAGAAGAAACCUCCCAUUAAAACCGAAACACACCUAUUAAAAAUCUAAUAAAAUAAAAUAAGAAUUAGGUUUCUUAAAACAGAACAUACACCAAUUAAAAAUCUAACAAAAUAAAAUAAGAAUCAGAUCUUUUAAAACAGAACACACCGAUCAAAAAUCUAAUAAAAUAAAAUAAGAAUCAGAUCUGUUGAUAAGUAUUUUCACAAGCACAUGAAAUCGUUUAAAUAAUAAAGUGAUGAGUAGAGUUGUCAAAUAAUUGAUUUUUAAAUAUAAAAAAUAUAUGUAAUUCUAAUGUUAUUUAAGUUAUCAAAUUAAAUUUUGAAUUAAGGAGAGAACUCUAAUCUAAUUCUUGAAAAUGGCACAAUUUAAUGAUAAAGAUGGAUACAGGCUUUUUCUUCAACAAGGGAAAUAAAGCAGAUAAAUAUAUUAUAAUUAAUAUUUAUUAUUUAUAGUUAUUUCCCACGAGUUUUCAUAUUUUAAUAAAAUCAAAUAAUUUUUUUAAAUUUCCAUACUAUUAAAUCUAUCUUUCUCAACAUAGAUAACUAAUAAUCAUUCAUUAAAAUGGCUACUAUAUUAUAGGAGAGCUAAUAAAAUAUAAAUAUAAAAUACAAAUAAGAGCUAAAUUUACAUAAUUAGAGAGCUAAAUAAAAUUAAAAUAAGAAUAAAUUUGAGAGAAUAAAAAAAUUAAAAGGAAAAAUGUAUAUAAAAAAUGAAAAAUGCCCUUUGAGACAUCAUGCUGUAAAGGUGAGCGGUGGGUAAAUUUUCCAUUGAGGUAUGAGUUUGUUGCUUCAAUAACAUCAGUUUAUUUGAGGGAUAUAGAGAUGAAAAACAAAAAGAACAAGAGAAAACUUGAAAUGAACACCAAAGGAAAUGAGAAGUUAAAUGUGUUGGAAGGUUUUUUUUUCCUUUUUUUUCUAUAUUAUAUCAAUCUCAUUUACAAAAUUGAAUAUAAAUAUACAGAGUAUAUGAGAGACAUUAAAAAAACUAUUUUAGCUAUAAACAAAAUCUAAGGCUAAGAAUGUGUUGUGUUCUAUGAAAAAAAGGAUUUUAAUCUGCUCUUAUAAUUUCUCCACUAAAAACUGAUUUGACAGCUUAUACCAACACUCUUCCUCAAGUUGAUACAUAAUGUUUUGGAUGUCCAACUUGUCAAGUAAGUUGUAAAAAGUUUUACUCAGAUACAGUUUUUGUGAUGAUAUCUGCUAGUUGGUCUUCAGAUUUAAUAAAAGAGAAACAAAUUAUUUUUUUCUUCAAGAUUCUUCUUGAUGAAGUGUCAACCCCCUCUACAUAUUUGGUAUGAUCAUGUUAAACAGGAUUCGACCCACCUCUAUAUGUUUGGUGUGAUCAUGUUGAACAGGAUUGUAAGAGAUAUCAAUUGUUGUCUUGUUGUCACAAAAGAAAUUUAUCUCAGAGUCAGUAGCAAAACCAAUCUCAGUCAAUAAUCUUUUUAGCCAUAGAAGUUCACAAAGGCCUUUUGCCAUUUCUUGAAACUCAGCUUCAGCACUAGAUAAUGCUACUAUCUUCUAUUUCUUACUUCUUCAAGUAACCAGAUUGCUUUCUACAAAAUUAAAAUAGGUUGAAUGGACUUUCUAUUAGAAGUAUUCCUGUCCAAUCUGCAUCCGUAUAACCAUCAAUACUCAUAUGAUUAUUCUUUGCGAACAUAAUUCCUUUUCUGAGAGAGACUUUAGAUAGGAAAGAAUUUGAAUCACUGCAUCCAUAUGACUUUUACUUGGGUAAUGCAUUAAUUGGCUUACUACGCUCACAAAGAACAUUUCUUUCGUAUAUUGAUUUUUCUAAAAAAAUAAAAUAAAAAAUUCUUGGAUUCUCAUAAUUCUGUGGCGGUAAACAUUUUUGGUAAGUGGUCCUUUGAUUUGUUUACUCCAAAAGAUAUAGCUAAAAAAUGUAGGAUGCGGUCGCUGAUGAACCCUGAUAAGGCUCUCACCGAAGGCUUUGAAGCUAUAGCUUCAAUAGCAGAUGGUCUAAGCAUCACUCUGGUUGAACGAAAAUCUCUGAGAGGCAGGAGCCUAAACGUUGUAUUGGCUGCUUGCUUGUUCAUUGCCUGCAGAGAGUAAAUCUCCGAGGACGUUAAGGGAGAUAAGUAGGGCCACAGCUGGGGUUUCAGGGAAGGAAAAUAAAAUAGAAGAACAGGGGCUAUAAAGAAGCAUGUGGAGAUUGAUACUGGGACUUUGCAUGCUAGUGAACUUGUUAGACGGUUCUGUUCUAAUCAUGGCAUGAAAAAUCAAGCAAUGAAGUCUGUUAAGAAGCUCUUGAAAACUCCAAAGAUAUUGAUGAGGAACCAAAAUCCACCUUGGUCUUGGCAGCCAUUAUUCAUAUAAUCGCUCAGCUUUCAACCACUUGCAUUGCAUAUCACUGAUUUUAGAAAAGGACACAGAAAAUUGACCAAUCAUAAUCUUUCUUCAAUCAUUACAAAUGGAACUUCCCUUGAAUUGGGAUUUCUUUUGUGUUCUUUAUGGAUUUAACUUAAGGUAGUAAGGAUUUGCAGACAUUGCAAUGGUUGUUGAACUUGAAGUUGCAGAAGAAACAAUCAAGAAGGCAUAUAAAGAUAUGAAUGCUUCAAAGCUCAUAGACAGUUGGUACCCUAAGGAGGUGAACAUCCAAAGAAAAGGCUUGCUUGUCAGUUUAAGUCCAAGUGCCAAUUCUUGAAGUUGAGAUUGGUCAAAAAUGGUGAAACUGCCAAAUGCUACAUAUAUCGCUGACCGGGAAGGCUUUUGAUCACGCCAUUUUAGGCACGAGGAGUCCUCCGGCCAGAACUGUGCUCCUGAAUUCCCUGUAUCGUAGUAAUAAUGGGCCAAUUGGGAGGAGCUUUGGAACCGAAGAAAAUACUUCAGCCUCAAGUUCAUGAAAUGAGUUGCAUAGCUGCCAUUCUAUCAAUUGUGAAUCUUCCAUUGCUCCUUCAACAUAUUUGAAAAGGCCCUUUGUGUGUACGAGUUGCCAACUUUCCAUGUCAAGUUAUCAGUGUAAAAAAUAGGGCCGCUGGGGACAUUUGAAUCAUUUGAUUCUUGAUUGAAUAUCCUGUAAAUGAAUCAAAAGGAAAAUGCAUGCAGAGUACGAGUAGUAACUUUACGUGGAAUAUCAACAACAUCAAGACUUUCUUGUGAUUAAAGAAUAAUAAUAACAAUAAAAGCAAGGGAAGAACUUACCGUCACUGUCGAUAUAUCCAUCUCGAAUAAGAUUAGGAAUGCUGGCUAAUUGGCGAAAAGUGGCAGCUGAUGCAGGCCAGAACAUUGCAACUCGGAUCCCCAAUUUGUCAGCAACUUCUCUUGCCCACCCCAUACAUCCAUCAACUACAAUACAAGUGAUGGGAUGAUUCUUGUUGAUGUCUUCUAUGAGAUCCUGAAUCUUUUUGGGCAUGGUGAUCACCAUGGCCUCGCAUAACUUACCCAAGUCAGUUCUAUCAUCCUCAGGAUCCAUCCCAUCUGGGAUUGAGACCAAAUUAACACAUGAGCCUGUAGGAUCGCUUCUGCCAGCCAUUGCACUAAGCACUCUCCUGAGGUUAAAGUCUGUAUUGACAAAAGUGACUUUGGAUCCAAGGUUGGCUAUUCUCCGAGCAAAGUGCAUGAAGGGGUUAACAUGUCCUUGGGCUGGAAAUGUUAGCACUAGAACAUGUGAAUUUCGCA
This 4401-nucleotide long non-coding RNA is filed under the name Manihot esculenta (cassava). RNAcentral's name for it is "long non-coding RNA (MESC_LNC000501)". The record is from RNAcentral. Lineage: Eukaryota; Viridiplantae; Streptophyta; Magnoliopsida; Malpighiales; Euphorbiaceae.